RNAcentral lists this transfer RNA (72 nucleotides) under Felis catus (domestic cat). It matches the Rfam family "tRNA". Rfam says of the family: Transfer RNA (tRNA) molecules are approximately 80 nucleotides in length. The record is from Rfam by way of RNAcentral. Lineage: Eukaryota; Metazoa; Chordata; Mammalia; Carnivora; Felidae. RNAcentral also lists the same sequence under 1 other name.
ACCUGGCUAGUUCAGUUGGUAGAGCAUGUGACUCUUGAUCUCAGGGUCGUGAGUUUGAGCCUCACGUUGGUA